Long non-coding RNA from Dermochelys coriacea (leatherback sea turtle), 2005 nucleotides. RefSeq lists it as uncharacterized. NCBI's taxonomy places the organism in Eukaryota, Metazoa, Chordata, Testudines, Dermochelyidae. The record is from RefSeq and is a predicted model, not a curated record. The transcript is spliced from 3 exons.
CCCAUUUGGCCUGCCAUCCCUAGCAAUUUGAGUCACAGUGGAGGGGCGAUGAGAAAGAAUGUAUAUUUCAAUUCACAAGUUGCCUCCACUGGCCCAGACGUAACCCAGCGGAGCAUAAUUGAAAUGUUACUACCUUAACAAUAGGAAGUUGCUACUCCCAAGAGUAGGAUGGUUGCUCACAUUCCCCACCAAAUCUCCCAGAGGUGCUACAUCACUGACCUUUGAGUUUCUUUUCUCCUGCUUGUUGGGAAGAAAGCAUGAGGACUGGCUGUUUGCAGAGCAGGUGCAUUCACUGGAUUUCAUUUAGUCUCACGCGCCCCCUGCUGCCUAAAUCACAAACUGAGCCAGAGCUGGGUCAGUUUGAUGUGUGUUUGGGGUUAUAGGGAGUUUUCGGUUUGUGAUUCAUCUUGUGAUUUGGUUUGUGAUUCAUGGCUUAGGGGAUUUUUUAUCGUUCCGGAGUCUGCGCGUUCAUAGAAUUUACUCAACACAACUAGAUCAUUGCUCUCUCUAGUCCUGCAUCCUGCCUUUACCAGUAGCCAAUAUGUGAUACUUCUGUGAAAGGCAAUCCCCACCCUCAACAUGAUGCAUGUGGCCAGUGAGUUAGUUCCUUCCUGACUCCUGCAGUAAUCACUUUGUGCCCAGGUGCUUGAGAGUUGAUGAGCUAUGUCUAACAUGUAUAAUAUAACUACCAGUGUUAUUGUUGCUCACUAGCUAGCCAGCCCUUCUAAACUCCAGUAACACCAUCAGGGUGAGUUCUAUAGCAUGACUACAUGCUGGGGGAGACAUAUUUCCUUUAGUUUGUUUUAUUUUAAUCAGCCACUAACUUCAUGGACUGACACCUUGUAGAAUUGCAGAGUGUCAAAUAGCCAUCAAUCCUUUGCCUUAGAGAGCACCUUCCAUCAGAAAAUUGAAAAGUGCACAGGAACUACUUCCAAACAAGGAAAGUUCCUGACUCCCACUGAUUUCCUGGGAGUUCUGUUUGACCAUGGAUCACAGCGUUUGGCCCAGCUAGAGCAAUGCAGGUGGAUCUAAGCAAUGUCAGGAAUCCUAGGCAUGUUGUCUCCCCUACCACUAUAAUUCCAUGUACUGCACCACUCAUCUCAGAUUCCAAAUGCUGGCAUGAUAUGAAUUACACACAUUGCAUAAUACAUUCUGCCCCUUGGUAUGUCAGUUACACUUACCUACACCAGUGUAUAAUUUACAAGCCCAAUUACCUGGCCACUGAACUGGUGCCAAGAACCUUUUAAUUAGACUUAAAUUGCCAUUUACUGAGUUGCUGGUGAAGCAAGGAAAGUUUCUCAUCAGCCCUUUUUUAGGCCCACAAUCACACUAAGAUAUUGGUAUGCAAACUCAAUGGGAAUUGCAUCUCUUGGGAUGAAUGGGUCUGAAAAGCUUUUUAAGAUACCAGGGCUCCAUUUUCUCCUCUCAGGAAUGUUUCUGAGACACAGUGCAGGCGAAGACGUAGUAUAGUCCGUGCAGCCACGCUCAGCCUUCUCCUUGCAUCACAGGAAAUGAAACAGGAGCCAACUACAUCCAGAGAAUCAUCUUUAACCCUCAAACAAUUGGUGCUGGAAUCAUACUCUUCCCCUUGCAGGCAAAUCCAGGAGGGACAUUUAGUGACAGCGGGAGGCAGUGCUGUGUGAAGGGAGAAGGAAUUGCCAAUGCAACAUCAGGGAGCCCAGGCAGCUCUUUCUCAUCUGCCCAUGUUGGAGGCAAGAGGGAACACUGGCUGUUAUUUAUCCUUUUCUACGGGGAAGGUCCUGGACUGAGCUCUGAAAGGAAGGAGCAGCCAUGGGGUGGACACUGACUGUUGCAUUGAUGCUCAUUGGAAAGAAGCGAGGAAUGCUUAGCUCUUCUCUAGCAUGCUCCACUCAGAAAGCCUGAGUGCUGGACACAGGAGGCCACUGUCAUUAUUUGAAGGUAACAGACUUCAGACAUAUAAAAGGCUGUUCUAAAGAAGAUGCUAAUCGAUUGUUCUCCAGGGCCACUGAAGGCAAGAUAAGAG